ACCACGCGCCUAGGGCUGAUUAGCACAUUCACAGCUUACUUACAACUACAUCUUGAGAUAGCCGAGUAGGGAGAGUGAGAGCACUGGAGAGCACAGAAGAGGUCAAGAAAUAGUUGAGACUACCUUGACUCGAGGUGGACUUGAGCCAAUUUGCAAAACACUGAUUGAGACAAAGGAAUGGGGACUUCAAGCAUCAGCAGCAUCAUUGUGGGGACAGCAUCCUUAGUCCUACACAAGAAUUAACAAGGUGAAGGAGAUGGAAGUCCCUCUGCUCCUCAGUAUCAGAAUUUGAACAUUCAAGAGUAUCAACGGACCCUUUUUGAACUGAUGCCUCCUCGAAGCCAUGGACUAAGAUGAGAAGUGGAUGACUUCUGAGGUAGACAGCUUAACCCAGGAAUGACUGAAAUGAAGUUUGUCUGGCUGCUCUACCAUACUGGACUAUUUCCCCUGGUU
RNAcentral lists this long non-coding RNA (453 nucleotides) under Monodelphis domestica (gray short-tailed opossum). RNAcentral's name for it is "lncRNA (ENSMODG00000043529.1)". The record is from RNAcentral. Lineage: Eukaryota; Metazoa; Chordata; Mammalia; Didelphimorphia; Didelphidae.